AACGAACGCUGGCGGCAUGCCUAACACAUGCAAGUCGAACGAGACCUUCGGGUCUAGUGGCGCACGGGUGCGUAACGCGUGGGAACCUGCCCUUAGGUUCCGAAUAACUCCCCGUAAGGGGAGCUAAUAACGGAUAAUGUAUUCGCACCAAAGAUUUAUCGCUUUGGGAUGGGGCCGCGUUGGAUUAGCCGGUUGGUAGGGUAAAAGCAUACCAAGGCGACGAUCCUUAGCUGGUCGGAGAGGAUGAUCAGCCACAAUGGGACUGAGACACGGCCCAGACUCGUACGGAAGGCAGCAGAGGGGAAUAUUGGACGAGGGGGGAAAGCCUGAUCCAGCAAUGCCGGGGGAGUGAUGAAGGCCUUAGGGUUGUAAAGCUCUUUUACCCGGGAUGAUAAUGACAGUACCGGGAGAAUAAGCUCCGGCUAACUCCGUG
Molecule: ribosomal RNA, 433 nt
Filed under: uncultured bacterium
Lineage: Bacteria
Description: partial 16S ribosomal RNA
Rfam family: Bacterial small subunit ribosomal RNA
Source: RNAcentral